UGGGAGGAAGAGUGGUGCUGUCAUUAUAGACAGCUAUGCAAUGACAGCAGUGUGGCAGGGCAAACAGACAGGCUUGAAACGGUUGGCCCUUGAUCGUGAUGUGGCUGCAGGAGCAGUCUGUCAUGAAGGACACUGGACACUCAUUAUCAUGUACCUGAAGGAGAUGAGGUCCUUAUACCUUGAUCCGUUUGGUGCCACUCAGCAACAGAUUGAGAGAUGUCAACAUGUAACAAGGUGAAUCAGCUGUAAUUUGUGCAUUAGACAUGUAUGUAUUCAUGCAUUUUGGAUAACCUUGGGGGAGCAACAGGCGAAUUACAUCAUUUCCCUUAUGACUAUACUAUUUCACUAGACUGGCAUAAGCUUGUCCUUUUGAGGGCCUUUAACACAAUUCAAGUGGUCU
Molecule: non-coding RNA, 400 nt
Organism: Epinephelus lanceolatus (giant grouper)
Lineage: Eukaryota; Metazoa; Chordata; Actinopteri; Perciformes; Serranidae
Source: RefSeq, a predicted model, not a curated record